AAAUCUCACCCGGCCCGGACACAGUGAGGAUUGACAGAUUGAGAGCUCUUUCUUGAUUCUGUGGGUGGUGGUGCAUGGCCGUUCUUAGUUGGUGGAGCGAUUUGUCUAGUUAAUUCCGAUAACGAACGAGACUCUGGCUUGCUAAAUAGUUACGCGACCCUCCCGGUCGGCGUUUAACUUCUUAGAGGGACUAGUGGCGUUUAGCCACACGAGAUUGAGCAAUAA
Molecule: ribosomal RNA, 225 nt
Filed under: uncultured marine eukaryote
Lineage: Eukaryota
Description: partial 18S ribosomal RNA
Rfam family: Eukaryotic small subunit ribosomal RNA
Source: RNAcentral